Symphalangus syndactylus (siamang) is the source of this 3783-nucleotide RNA transcript. It is a transcript of the gene named tRNA methyltransferase 11, with no coding region annotated. The record is from RefSeq and is a predicted model, not a curated record. Lineage: Eukaryota; Metazoa; Chordata; Mammalia; Primates; Hylobatidae.
UGUCUCAGUGGAGACUCGGCUUCGGGAGAGAGAAAGCAGUGGGACUUAGCGCGGGCCGCGCAGGCGCACGGUGGGCAGCUGCAAUGGCGCUGUCGUGUACCCUUAACAGGUAUCUGCUCCUCAUGGCGCAGGAGCAUCUAGAGUUCCGCCUGCCGGAAAUAAAGUCUUUGCUUUCGCUUUUUGGAGGUCAGUUUGCCAGCAGUCAAGAAACUUAUGGAAAGUCACCAUUUUGGAUUCUUAGCAUUCCAUCUGAAGAUAUUGCAAGAAAUUUAAUGAAACGGACAGUGUGUGCCAAGUCUAUAUUUGAACUGUGGGGUCAUGGACAAUCUCCUGAGGAGCUGUACAGUUCUCUUAAAAAUUACCCUGUGGAGAAGAUGGUUCCAUUUCUACAUUCAGACUCUACAUAUAAAAUAAAGAUUCACACUUUUAAUAAGACAUUGACACAAGAAGAGAAAAUCAAGCGAAUAGAUGCACUUGAAUUUCUGCCAUUUGAAGGAAAAGUGAAUUUAAAGAAACCACAACAUGUAUUCUCUGUUUUGGAGGAUUAUGGUUUGGACCCAAACUGCAUCCCUGAGAAUCCACAUAAUAUUUAUUUUGGUAGAUGGAUUGCAGAUGGACAGAGAGAGCUUAUUGAGUCAUACAGUGUCAAAAAAAGACACUUUAUUGGAAAUACAAGUAUGGAUGCUGGUUUGUCAUUCAUUAUGGCUAACCACGGAAAAGUGAAAGAAAAUGAUAUUGUCUUUGAUCCAUUUGUUGGAACAGGUGGCCUCCUGAUAGCAUGUGCUCAUUUUGGUGCAUAUGUGUAUGGGACAGACAUAGACUACAACACAGUUCAUGGCUUGGGAAAGGCUACUAGGAAAAACCAGAAAUGGAGAGGACCAGAUGAAAACAUUAGGGCCAAUCUUCGUCAAUAUGGUUUAGAGAAGCAUUACCUUGAUGUCCUGGUUUCAGAUGCAUCUAAACCUUCCUGGAGGAAGGGCACAUAUUUUGAUGCAAUCAUUACUGAUCCUCCAUAUGGUAUCAGAGAAUCUACAAGAAGAACAGGUUCACAGAAGGAGAUACCAAAGGGGAUAGAAAAAUGGGAAAAAUGUCCAGAAAGCCAUGUUCCUGUUUCCUUGAGUUAUCGUCUGAGUGAUAUGUUUCUUGACCUGUUAAACUUCGCAGCUGAGACCCUCGUGUUAGGUGGAAGACUAGUCUAUUGGUUACCGGUGUAUACGCCAGAAUACACUGAAGAGAUGGUGCCUUGGCACCCUUGCCUGGAACUCAUUAGCAACUGUGAGCAGAAGCUUUCCAGUCACACAUCAAGGCGCUUGAUCACAAUGGAAAAGGUGAAGAAAUUUGAGAAUCGGGACCAGUAUUCACAUCUGCUAAGUGAUCAUUUUCUGCCAUACCAAGGUCAUAAUUCCUUCCGUGAGAAAUAUUUUAGUGGGGUAACAAAAAGAAUUGCCAAGGAAGAAAAAUCCACCCAGGAAUGAAAAUUAAGAUUUUGACAAUGAAGAAAGAAUAAGAAUUGAUUUAAAAAGACAUCUGGAUGUGAACUUUCAUGUAUGAUCCAGAAAAUAGAGAUUGAAAAGGAAAGCAGUCAGACUCCUGAGUUGAUUUUUGAGACUGGAAUGAGAGAAGAAGUGGAUGUGGGUCUGGAAGAGCUGGGCACCUGUACCAGACUGGGUGUGGAGCCUGGUAGGUAAAACCCGACCUGAACAAGCUUGAGCAAGAAAAUUUGCUACAAGGAAUGUGCUCUAUGGAUUUGCUACAAGGAAUGUGCUGUCACAUACCCUGAGGACAGGAAUAUGGCUAAGCCUUAAGUAUAUCAUCCCAGUAAGCUGUGGCCAGGCUGAACUUGUGCUAUACAACGGCAGGCCCCAACCUUUUCGGCACCAGGGGCCAGUUUUGUGGAAGAUGAUGAAACCAAUGUGCAGAGAGGUUAUGCAGUUCGCCCAAGGACACACAGCUGGUAAGUUGUAGAGAUGGAAUUCAAGCCUUUCCUCCACAUCCUCUUCUUAUAGACUUCAGUUCUUAAAAUAAAUCAACUCAGUUGUUCAGGUCUUUUUCACUUAUUUGAAGGAAACAACAUUCUGGAUUAAUUUCAAGUGAAAAUACCCUGGAGGCACACUGAAUUUUCAGACGUGGACAGCUGAUCAUCUGAGGAAGCUGCUGCAUUUCCAGUUCUCUUUUGGUUGGGAGAAAGGCGAUUCUUCAUGCUCCUCUGUUCUUUUGAUUUCCUAUUGGCAUCUCCGUUUCCCUCCAUACCUUUCAACAUUCAAGCCAGAUGCCAAUUGUCUGUGUGAAAACACACUGCAUCUCAAAUAUACCAAGAUGCCAUAAUAUUUGACCAUAUGUGAAUAUUCCAGUAAACUCCUGGGACUUAUGUUCCAGUGUCAGUGCUGAACAACAGGAAGACUGUAGAUACCAUCAGCUAACCAGAAGACUCACAUAUGCCUCAUGUUUAUAAAUGCCAGAUAGAUGUAGUACGUUCUAAAUUUGAAUUUUUGGUGCAAGAGAGGGGAUGGGUGCUCUCUCCAUGGAGGCAGUGCAGCUUGCAAACAUACAAAUGGAUGGGACCUCCUCAGGUUGCUGCUGAUCAUGGCAAUUAAUUAUUGUGGAGAGACUUGCAAACAAGAAACAUCUCUUGAGAUGAACUCUGAAAGAAAAGAAGAAAAGAAUGUGUCCAUGGUAGCCAACAGCUAUAUUAAAUAAAAUAAAGUUUGAACUAACUAUAUUAACUGGGCCAGAAAAAUUCCCCUGAAGCUGGACAGGGUGGGAUUAAAUUCUGAAACCUUAAGCAAAACACUUCAAAGGACAUAGGAUGAAUUUUGAGCAAUAUCUUUAUCUUUGCCACCCCCCACAGUCCCCAGCCUCCUGCGAUGCUGGCCUCGUCGUUGAAAAACACAAAAGCAAACCACUUCAGGAGGAUUUACUAGAUGCCAAGCUUUGUUUUGGACCUGGUGAGAGUUAAGAAGAUGAAAUCAACAAGCCCUUUGUUCUCGAGUUGCCCAGUGAUUUAGUAUGAGAAUCUUUAUUGUCAUAAAAGUGCCUAACAAUGCUAGGCAGGAAGGCAGGAAGCAGGAACUGAAGGCAACGUGUCCUUGGAAUGGCCCAGAGAAGAGACUGAGACUCUUAGCUUGACUCUGAGCUGACUUAAAGGGUCUGGUAUAAUGGCAGUUCUUUUACUGAACUGCACUCUCUUCUAGUAAGUAUAAAAAAGUUCUAUUGGCAAUAAUAAUAGCAAACAAGUAUCAGGUUCUUACUGUGCUAAGCACUUUAAUUCUGUUAUUGGACUUUCAAAACAACUUAUGGAGGAUGAUACCAUUACUUUUCCUGUAUUACAGCAGAGGGAACUGAGGUUUAGAGAGAGAAAAUAAUUUGCCAAAGUCAUAUAAUUGUUGUCUUAUAUAAUUGUUCAUCCCAUGGAGAAUGGCAUUUUCAUUUCUACAGAGAUCAGAAUGUGUUAAUUGUUAUCUAUUUCCUGUCUCAAAUGUGUUACUCCUCAUCUCUGCCAAAGCAAGCUCUAUUUAUCCUGCAAGAACUGUGGAACUUCCUCUACUUCCAUCGUAAACUCUUCCUGGGACCCAGUGACCUCUCUUCCCACAGCAUACUUGGAGAAUUUAUGCCUGCCUCAUGUAUUUGGCAAUUGAUCAUAAAUGGUCCUAUGCUAAUUCUCAUUUGUUAUAUGAUAUUGUUUAAUUUUGUUUAAUCUUUCCAUCCAGAUUGUAAACUCCUUCUUGCUUCUAGCUUUGUCUAAAGGAUUAAAAGUGAGUCUUUUAUACUAUUCACCACAGUGCA